This 1168-nucleotide long non-coding RNA is filed under the name Anser brachyrhynchus (Pink-footed goose). RNAcentral describes it as "lncRNA (ENSABRG00000006001.1)". The record is from RNAcentral. Lineage: Eukaryota; Metazoa; Chordata; Aves; Anseriformes; Anatidae.
AUGUCUGCACUGGAUCCCUGCAGCAACAUGUCACUACAAAUCCAGCUAGACACUAACUGUGAAGUAGAUCUGCUCAGCCUGUGUGUGUGUAUAAGCUUCUUAGAAUUUGCUGCUGUUUUCAUUCCUGUUAUUUGUGCAUCUUUUGUGGAUAUGUGGAUAUGCUUGUAAAUCUGUUUUCUGGAUUGUUUGGGAGGUUGGAAGGUGAUCCUAAGUGUGUCCAAGGAAGGAAAGCAUUACAGUGAGCAGAGAUGAAUACAGAUACAAAUGUCCCAUCGACUGCUUAGAAGCCAUACUAUUUGACAGCAUUUGGUUGAGGUUUUCCAUAUGUCAACGUAGUAGAAACUACAGAUUUCAAAAUUGAAUUUUUGUGAAAGUUGAAAGAAUUUUCUGUAGUAUUUUAAAGGAUUUUGAGGACACACUGUUGGGAUCUAAUUUGUACAUUCUCAGAAUGAGAAUAUGCUUAACUCUGGCUACAGCAAAGCAUUUAUGAAAACGUUCUCUUGCUAAUACAGAUCUUCUAGUUCUUUGACACACCUGCACCAUUUUUAAACAUGUCCAAGGAACUAGGUAAAUACAGAGACUAUUUGGCCAGACCCAGCUUUGUCUGCUACUGAGAUUCUGCUGCCAGCUACAGCCAGGUGGUAAAUUCAAGCCCAGCUUAAGGAUAUUUUUUUAAGAUGCAGUCAGUUCAGCAAAGACCACCUGGGAGCGGAGCAGAGAUUGCUGUUUAAGGAAUUGAGCUGACGUAACAGCUCCAGUAUAUCUCCCAGUAAUUGAACUGGAAAUGCUGUCCUCUGCUUUUAGGAUUUACAGAAGGUUGGUCUGCUUUGACCUGACGGCAAUUUUAAAUAGUAUGGUUAAGUUUUUUCAGUUUCCACAACCAACUGAACACAGUCAUGUGGCACGGACCACAGCCAAUGCCUUUGACCACCUGCAUAUGUGACCAGUUGCCCAUUGAUUAGGGGCUGACUUACAUAGAAUUUUAGUCUCAUUCCUGUAAGUUCCACAAUAAGCUUGACUAUGUGUGACCAUGUGUAAACAAGUGUAUAUAGGCGUCUGAUUUUAGCAAAGACAUCCUUGAACUUCAGUAUUUAACCUGAAGUCAGCCCUGGUUUUAAGUAUGGUGAGGUUGAACCCUCUUCUCCUUCUCUAGUCUGCUCCCCUUGAA